AAGUGGAAAUCGCAGUUGGAGACCCGCAUCCAGAGGGCGAAGAAUCAGGGACGCAUGGGCUCAGGAGGGACUCCGGAAAGUGCUGCCUCUGGACACUAGACUGUGGACUGUGGACUGUGACUGUGGUUAAAGCCCACUUAAUUGACAUUUAGUGGACACUCGAAUGCAAAUGCUACACAGAGUGGACAGAGGAUAUACACUGCAAUAAAAUAAGGCAAAAUAAGGCACAAAUGGAGGAUUAAAUGAAUAACUUCCACGUUCUGCGCAAUGAAUUAUCUGCCAAUAUGUUAGCAGUCAGCCAUCCAUCGAGUGCCCCACGCCCGAGUAUUUAGCAGAAAACUUUCUAACAGCAAAAUGCAUAAGCACAGGCAUAAGCAUCUGCCUGCAUCUGCAUAGUAAAUUGAAUACAUCAGAAACAACUAUAAAUAAUUGCCAGCCAACAACUGCAGGAGGAAAUGAAGAAAUUUUGCCAGAAAUUUUCAUGUACGGAUUGGAGUGCGUGUGUGCGUGUGCGAAUGGCCCAAAGGCGAAGGCUAAUGGCCCCCAAAACGGCCAAGCGACGACGACAAGCAUUUACAAGCUGUGGCCACAAACUGUGCGACGAGAGAGACAAGUGCAAUAGGCCAGCGCAGGUGCUGGCUAGUAUACCCUGCUCAGGAGUACUCUGUCUUGGGAGGUGCACUGUGAUUCGAGGGAGGCGUUUGCAAGUUAAGGAAGGAAGCAUCUUUGAUAGAUCAGAUACCAAGCAGUCGAUAAGGCCACGUCCGAGUCUUCAGAUCCUUGGCAUAUCUUAUGCAGAGCAAGAAUCGCUUAAGGGAUAAGUUUUAGUAGGAAUUUCCACUGAAAUUAAAUCAUUUCUUUUAUUUCAGCAAAUGUUGAGCAAUAUCGGAGCACUAUAUCGUAAAUAGAUGCUACAGGAAUCUCACAUUUGCCCCACUGAUUUUUGGAGCAUUCAUUGGAACCCACAGACCAUACCAGACCAGACCCAACCAGAUCCGCUGCAGCAUCAUUCAAUCUGCCAUCCUGGCAGCCAGUGUGUGUGUG
Molecule: long non-coding RNA, 1044 nt
Organism: Drosophila obscura
Lineage: Eukaryota; Metazoa; Arthropoda; Insecta; Diptera; Drosophilidae
Exons: 3
Source: RefSeq, a predicted model, not a curated record